RNAcentral lists this long non-coding RNA (231 nucleotides) under Lathyrus oleraceus (garden pea). RNAcentral describes it as "Pisum sativum (pea) long non-coding RNA (PSAT_LNC016188)". Lineage: Eukaryota; Viridiplantae; Streptophyta; Magnoliopsida; Fabales; Fabaceae. The record is from RNAcentral.
GACAAACUACGUAGGCCCAGGAUGCGACAUCCUGCCGAGUCCGCUUUCUCCGUUCUCCUUCACCUGUGUUUUGUUCCAGUGUGUGUGCAUUCUUUGAGCAGUUAUUUAGCAACCUUUUUCUAUUCUUUUGAGCGUGGAUCCCGUCGAGUACGACGGACGUGAGGGGUGUUAAUACCUUCCCCUUGCGUAACCGACUCCCGAUCCUAGAAAUCUCUGGUCGUAAGACCUUUC